This 114-nucleotide small nucleolar RNA is filed under the name Canis lupus familiaris (dog). Its description in RNAcentral is "Small nucleolar RNA U3 (ENSCAFG00040001650.1)". It matches the Rfam family "Small nucleolar RNA U3". From Rfam's summary of the family: Small nucleolar RNAs (snoRNAs) are involved in the processing and modification of rRNA in the nucleolus. There are two main classes of snoRNAs: the box C/D class, and the box H/ACA class. Lineage: Eukaryota; Metazoa; Chordata; Mammalia; Carnivora; Canidae. The record is from RNAcentral.
AAGACUAUACUUUCAGGAUCAUUUCUAUAGUUUGUUACUAGAUUAGGUCUCUUCUAACACCUUUUUAUACCUCCCUCCAUGUGUCUAUUUACUUAUCAUAAUUGUAACUGUGGA